ACCCUUGGAAUUUCAGUUUUUGAC
This 24-nucleotide small nuclear RNA is filed under the name Arabidopsis thaliana (thale cress). RNAcentral describes it as "snRNA_06025". Lineage: Eukaryota; Viridiplantae; Streptophyta; Magnoliopsida; Brassicales; Brassicaceae. The record is from RNAcentral.